Molecule: ribosomal RNA, 293 nt
Filed under: uncultured bacterium
Lineage: Bacteria
Description: partial 16S ribosomal RNA
Rfam family: Archaeal small subunit ribosomal RNA
Source: RNAcentral
GUGCCAGCCGCCGCGGUAAUACCGGCAGCCCGAGUGAUGGCCGAUCUUAUUGGGCCUAAAGCGUCCGUAGCUGGCUGGACAAGUCCGUUGGGAAAUCCACCCGCUUAACGGGUGGGCGUCCAGCGGAAACUGUCCGGCUUGGGGCCGGAGGACCCGAGGGGUACGUCCGGGGUAGGAGUGAAAUCCUGUAAUCCUGGACGGACCGCCGGUGGCGAAAGCGCCUCGGGAGGACGGACCCGACAGUGAGGGACGAAAGCUGGGAUCUCGAACCGGAUUAGAUACCCGUGUAGUCC